UGGGGAAUAUUGGACAAUGGGCGCAAGCCUGAUCCAGCCAUGCCGCGUGAGUGAUGAAGGCCCUAGGGUUGUAAAGCUCUUUCACCGGUGAAGAUAAUGACGGUAACCGGAGAAGAAGCCCCGGCUAACUUCGUGCCAGCAGCCGCGGUAAUACGAAGGGGGCUAGCGUUGUUCGGAUUUACUGGGCGUAAAGCGCGCGUAGGCGGACUAUUAAGUCAGGGGUGAAAUCCCGGGGCUCAACCCCGGAACUGCCUUUGAUACUGGUAGUCUUGAGUUCGGGAGAGGUGAGUGGAAUUCCGAGUGUAGAGGUGAAAUUCGUAGAUAUUCGGGGGAACACCAGUGGCGAAGGCGGCUCACUGGCUCGAUACUGACGCUGAGGUGCGAAAGCGUGGGGAGCAAACAGG
RNAcentral lists this ribosomal RNA (404 nucleotides) under Actinomycetes bacterium. Its description in RNAcentral is "Actinobacteria bacterium partial 16S ribosomal RNA". It matches the Rfam family "Bacterial small subunit ribosomal RNA", at positions 355 to 776 of the family's 1533-position model. Lineage: Bacteria; Bacillati; Actinomycetota; Actinomycetes. The record is from RNAcentral.